RNAcentral lists this long non-coding RNA (411 nucleotides) under Malus domestica (apple). RNAcentral's name for it is "long non-coding RNA (MDOM_LNC005473)". The record is from RNAcentral. Lineage: Eukaryota; Viridiplantae; Streptophyta; Magnoliopsida; Rosales; Rosaceae.
GGCAAUCUCGGUGGUUGGGAUGGGAGGACUGGGGAAAACGACCUUGGUAAAGCAAGUGUACGAGGAUGCAAGAGUUCAGAAACGUUUUAAGGUACAUGCUUGGAUCACUGUUUCUCAACCAUUCAAGAUAAAGCGGCUCCUAAGACACGUAGUUCAGAAAAUCUUCCAAGUUAUCAGGAAACCAGUCCCUGAAGAAGUUGAUAGUAUGAACACCGACCAGCUAAGAGAGAGAAUCAAAAAAUUACUGCAGCAGACCAGGUACCUGAUUGUUCUAGAUGACCUUUGGAACAACGAUGUGUGGGAUGCCAUCAAUCAUGCACUGCCCCACAACGGUAAUGGUAGUCGUGUAAUGAUCACUACCCGUAAUGCUGCUGUAGCCUCUGCCUCUAGCAUGGAAAACCACGGUAUGGU